Molecule: long non-coding RNA, 1091 nt
Filed under: Struthio camelus australis
Lineage: Eukaryota; Metazoa; Chordata; Aves; Struthioniformes; Struthionidae
Description: lncRNA (ENSSCUG00000010174.1)
Source: RNAcentral
NNNNNNNNNNNNNNNNNNNNNNNNNNNNNNNNNNNNNNGCCCCCGCACCCGCGGCAGCAAUUAUUACUGAGCGUCCUUAUAGCGCCUGCACCGCUGCUGGUCCCAAGGCGCGUGCAGGCAGGCAGCAGCCCCGCGAGCCGCCUGCCACAGGGGAGAGGUGGGCAAGACCCUGCGAGACGGGGCACAAGGGACACAGGCGAGCCACCGGAAAAUGAUGUGACAAGCCCUGGCUGGCGCACAGAGGUGAGCUCCGAUUAAAGCAGAAGCCCUGAGGAUGUGCUGGGAAAGCAGAACGACGCCCCUGAGAUACAGCUCAGCGGUUUGCAGCCAACCUACGGCGCGGUGCAAGGUGCUAAGGCAAGCAGGAACGACCUCCCGGCUCCUGAGCCUCAAAGCUGAUCACAGCCUCCUGCCUCUGCACCCGCAUCCAUAUCCACAUCUGCACUUGUAUCCACAUACACAUCUGCACCUGCACCCAUAUCUACAUCAGCACCUGCAUCCAUAUUGCAGCCAACCUACGGCGCGGUGCAAGGUGCUAAGGCAAGCAGGAACGACCUCCCGGCUCCUGAGCCUCAAAGCUGAUCACACCGUCCUGCCUCUGCACCCGCAUCCAUAUCCACAUCUGCACUUGUAUCCACAUACACAUCUGCACCUGCAUCCACAUCAGCACCUGCAUCCACAUUCACAUCUGCACCUGCAUCCACAUCUGCACCUGCAUCCAUAUACACAUCCGCACCUACAUCCACAUCAGCACAUACAUCCACAUCAACACCUGCAUCCACAUACACAUCUGCACCUGCACCCAUAUCUACAUCAGCACCUGCAUUCACAUCUGCACCUGCAUCCACAUCUGCACCUGCAUCCAUAUACACAUCCGCACCUACAUCCACAUCAGCACAUACAUCCACAUCAACACCUGCAUCCACAUACACAUCUGCACCUGCAUCCACAUCAGCACCUGCAUCCACAUUCACAUCUGCACCUGCAUCCACAUCUGCACCUGCAUCCAUAUACACAUCCGCACCUACAUCCACAUCAGCACAUACAUCCACAUCAACACCUGCAUCCACAUACACAUCUGCACCUGCACC